Molecule: long non-coding RNA, 507 nt
Filed under: Musa acuminata (dwarf banana)
Lineage: Eukaryota; Viridiplantae; Streptophyta; Magnoliopsida; Zingiberales; Musaceae
Description: long non-coding RNA (MACU_LNC000348)
Source: RNAcentral
UAGCACAAACCCUAAAGUUACACGAGCAUCUACGCACCAAACCAUCAUUAAAUCCACGCGAUGCACGCCAUCUUCUAAUAAUAAUAAUAAUAAGUAGAGUCUUGCCAUCUAACCAUAAACCUUUGGAUUCAAGUAGGCGUGAGAAUAUAAACAUGUUAAGUAGAUGACAGUGGCACAAAACUGUGCGUCCCAUCGGGUUGUUCUUUCCUCACGCCGCCGUCUUGGAUAGCACCGCACCGCAAGUAAUACGGAUCGUUGGGCUGCAAGAAUAUUGGGCCGUGUUAGAUUAGUCUCACGCGGGUUGGCCUUUCCCGGACCAACUGCACCGCCGAGGGAGUAAUGCCGACUGCCGAUGGAGAAUCCGCUGAGAAAGCUCGAUAACCGGCAACAGCAGCAGCAGAUCCAUCAACAUCUUUCUCACAACGCAGGAGGACAACAUACACAACCAACCGAAGAAGAAUGCAUGAUUUCUGAGUAUCAAAUUCUACGUUGUGUGCGGAGGAAGAA